This 250-nucleotide ribosomal RNA is filed under the name uncultured Anaerolineaceae bacterium. RNAcentral describes it as "partial 16S ribosomal RNA". It matches the Rfam family "Bacterial small subunit ribosomal RNA", at positions 1137 to 1382 of the family's 1533-position model. Lineage: Bacteria; Bacillati; Chloroflexota; Anaerolineae; Anaerolineales; Anaerolineaceae. The record is from RNAcentral.
UGUCACACGGGACCGCCGGUUUUUAAAGCCGGAGGAAGGUGAGGAUGACGUCAAGUCAGCAUGGCCUUUAUACUCUUGGGCUACACACACGCUACAUGGCCAGUACAACAGGAAGCGAAGUCGCAAGGCGAAGCCAAUCCCUAAAGCUGGUCUCAGUUCGGAUUGCAGGCUGCAACUCGCCUGCAUGAAGCCGGAGUUGCUAGUAACCGCAGGUCAGCUAUACUCGCGGUCGAAUACGUUCCCGGGCCUU